Molecule: long non-coding RNA, 898 nt
Filed under: Sus scrofa (pig)
Lineage: Eukaryota; Metazoa; Chordata; Mammalia; Artiodactyla; Suidae
Description: lncRNA (ENSSSCG00015028873.1)
Source: RNAcentral
UGUCCGCAGGGCCUGCUCUGGAGGGGCCAUCUACCUGGGGGAGUGGGAAGGGGCUGUGAGGGGGCGGGCUAGGACCCAGGACCCCCUAGCAGAUAUGGAGGAGGGGAACACAGGUUCUCCUGGCAGGCAUCAUUUCCUAGCCCACUGGGUAGAUGCUCCAGGGGUCACUGGGGGAAGAACUGUGUAAAAACCCGGUGGAGGUCAGAGGAGAAGAAGAAAUACCAUCCAUGGGAAGGUGCUUAAUACAGAAAAAGACUAGAACUCCAGACAUUUCCCACUUUCAAAAAAUUGGCCUCCUUGGAGUUCCUGCCGUGGCGCAGUGGUUAACGAAUCCGACUAGGAACCAUGAGGUUGCGGGUNUCUGAUUGGAACCCUGGCCUGGGAACAUCCAUAUGCCAUGGGCGCGGCCCUAAAAAGACAAAAAAGAAAGAAAGACCAAAAACCAAAACCAAAACCAACCAAACAAAAAAGCCUGUUUGAAAAAAAAAAAAAAAAAAAAAAAAUUUGGCCUCCUAAAGGAUGUCACCAGCAACUGGAAUGGGGAGGAAACGAGACUAAGAAAGUACCCGAGUCAGAAAGAAGGGGAAGCCCCAUUGGAAGUGUGGGCCCUAAGGACAUGGAAGCUGGCUUUUUGUUUUUUAAGGUCUCAGAGUGAGAAACAAGAUGCUCCAUGUUUAUAUGUGCAGUUAAUCAGGAAGAAUUCAUGGGACACCACGGACGGAGGCUCCUCUGGAAUAUGGAACUGGGCUCUCAGGCUUCCUUUGCACUGCGUGCUCUCUUGUUCCACUUGAACGUCUGGUUCUAAAUUUGUUUCAUUUUCACCAUAAAAUGAGGGGGAAUCAUUGUGAUGAGCAGCGAGCCAUGGUGUGUCUCCCCCAAGACCUUGCUUGAGCAGAUU